RNAcentral lists this ribosomal RNA (388 nucleotides) under soil bacterium 11G-05. Its description in RNAcentral is "bacterial SSU rRNA". It matches the Rfam family "Bacterial small subunit ribosomal RNA", at positions 68 to 454 of the family's 1533-position model. The record is from RNAcentral.
GGUANCACAGAGAGCUUGCUCUUGGGUGACGAGUGGCGGACGGGUGAGUAAUGUCUGGGGAUNUGCCCGAUAGAGGGGGAUAACCACUGGAAACGGUGGNUAAUACCGCAUAACGUCGCAAGACCAAAGAGGGGGACCUUCGGGCCUCUCACUAUCGGAUGAACCCAGAUGGGAUUAGCUAGUAGGCGGGGUAAUGGCCCACCUAGGCGACGAUCCCUAGCUGGUCUGAGAGGAUGACCAGCCACACUGGAACUGAGACACGGUCCAGACUCCUACGGGAGGCAGCAGUGGGGAAUAUUGCACAAUGGGCGCAAGCCUGAUGNAGCCAUGCCGCGUGUAUGAAGAAGGCNUUCGGGUUGUAAAGUNCUUUCAGCGGGGAGGAAGGCGA